CAAUGGGGAAUUGCUUCUUAU
RNAcentral lists this microRNA (21 nucleotides) under Ananas comosus (pineapple). Its description in RNAcentral is "microRNA s0348_c18a". Lineage: Eukaryota; Viridiplantae; Streptophyta; Magnoliopsida; Poales; Bromeliaceae. The record is from RNAcentral.